This 272-nucleotide ribosomal RNA is filed under the name uncultured bacterium. RNAcentral describes it as "partial 16S ribosomal RNA". It matches the Rfam family "Bacterial small subunit ribosomal RNA", at positions 1221 to 1500 of the family's 1533-position model. The record is from RNAcentral.
CGUGUUACAAUGGGGGGUACAGAGGGCCGCUACCACGCGAGUGGAUGCCAAUCCCUAAAACCCCUCUCAGUUCGGACUGGAGUCUGCAACCCGACUCCACGAAGCUGGAUUCGCUAGUAAUCGCGCAUCAGCCACGGCGCGGUGAAUACCGUUCCCGGGCCUUGUACACACCGCCCGUCAAGCCAUGGGAGCCGGGGGUACCUGAAGUGCGUAACCGCGAGGAUCGCCCUAGGGUAAAACUGGUGACUGGGGCUAAGUCGUAACAAGGUAUC